RNAcentral lists this ribosomal RNA (465 nucleotides) under uncultured bacterium. RNAcentral's name for it is "partial 16S ribosomal RNA". It matches the Rfam family "Bacterial small subunit ribosomal RNA", at positions 338 to 795 of the family's 1533-position model. The record is from RNAcentral.
CCUACGGGGGGCAGCAGUGGGGAAUAUUGCGCAAUGGGCGAAAGCCUGACGCAGCGACGCCGCGUGAGGGAUGAAGGUCUUCGGAUCGUAAACCUCUGUCAGCAGGGAAGAACGGUCACUGUGCUAAUCAGCAGUGAAUUGACGGUACCUGCAAAGGAAGCACCGGCUAACUCCGUGCCAGCAGCCGCGGUAAUACGGGGGGUGCGAGCGUUAAUCGGAUUUACUGGGCGUAAAGAGCGCGUAGGAGGUAUGUCAAGUCAAGGGUGAAAGCCCGGCGCUCAACUUGGGAACUGCCUUUGAAACUGGCAAACUGGAGUGUGUGAGAGGAUAGUGGAAUUCGAGGUGUAGGAGUGAAAUCCGUAGAUAUCUGGAGGAACAUCAGUGGCGAAGGCGACUAUCUGGCACAUAACUGACGCUGAGGAGCGAAAGCGUGGGUAGCAAACAGGAUUAGAUACCCUUGUAGUC